AUUGAACGCUGGCGGCGUGCUUAACACAUGCAAGUCGUGCGGUAACAGGCGUAGCAAUACGUGCUGACGAGCGGCGAACGGGUGCGUAAUACAUGGGAAUCUGCCCUAUGGUGGGGAAUAACCCGGCGAAAGCCGGGCUAAUGCCGCAUAAGAUCUUCGGAUGAAAGCGGGGGAUCGUAAGACCUCGCGCCGAUGGAUGAGCCCAUGUCGGAUUAGCAGUUGGUGAGGUAACGGCUCACCAAGGCGACGAUCCGUAGCUGGUCUGAGAGGACGGCCAGCCACACUGGGACUGAGACACGGCCCAGACUCCUACGGGAGGCAGCAGUGGGGAAUAUUGGACAAUGGGCGAAAGCCUGAUCCAGCGACGCCGCGUG
Molecule: ribosomal RNA, 374 nt
Filed under: uncultured bacterium
Lineage: Bacteria
Description: bacterial SSU rRNA
Rfam family: Bacterial small subunit ribosomal RNA
Source: RNAcentral